Molecule: long non-coding RNA, 1050 nt
Organism: Astatotilapia calliptera (eastern happy)
Lineage: Eukaryota; Metazoa; Chordata; Actinopteri; Cichliformes; Cichlidae
Source: Ensembl
GCAUUUUUAUCAACAGGCUGGACAACUGUGUGCACAUGUUCACCCAAGUCCAACAAAACCUCAUGAGUAUAGAGAAGCAGCAAAGGUCACAUGGAAAGAAAUAAAGCCAGAGUGUCAGAGACAGAGGGGAGGUUAAUGGUUGCCCCUUUCUUGCUCUAUUAGAACACAGCACCUCAGAUAAAGAUUAGAUAUCCUUCGUCCACAUGACAAAUGGCUGUGAUCGGGUGCUGAUGCAGAGCUCUGAAUCACCGUAAAGAGACAUUUUUAGAGUUCUGUGGAUGGAUUUGCUCCGUGGAGAGUGAAUGUAGCCCAGAGGAAUACCUCGGUCUCCCAGUGCAGGAACAAUAUAUCAGAUGAGUGUUUUCAGUCCUCCAUAGGGGCCUUUGUGCCUCGAGCUCUCUGCCUGAAUUAUCAAUUUAGAUGUUGAAGCCAAAGAAAAGGACAGCUUUGGACCAUUUUGUGGCGUGGUGUGUUCUCCAGAGGUGGAAAAUAAGCUAUUACUGUUUUGCUGCAUAUGCCCAGGUCUGUAAUUUCAGGUCUCAUUUUAUUUUGAAACAGAAACAGUUUUGAUUUUUUUUUUUUCAUUUUAUUUUUAGACCAUAACAGUUUCUCUUGGGAUGGAAUUAUGAGCACAAAUAAGGAUGUUUUUAUACAUGCUGUAAAAAUUCAAGGUUCAGUCAAGGAUUCUCCAGGAAGCAAUGAAAGAAUAAAGCCAGAGGGUAUAUUACAAAGUUCCCCACAAACACAAAGCAUCAUAUACAGUAGCUUUAGCAUCCAGAGAGGGGAAAGUGCAAUCUAUUUUUUAUCUGUAUAUUUGCCAGAUAAUUGGCAUGCUACUAUACUUAUGGGGGAAAAACGCCCGUCCUCAUGAGUUUGAAGGCAUUUGACUCAUUUUGAGGUUACAGUAUAUAUUUAGGUUUAGGCUGAGAGUUAGGGUUAGGUGUGUGUGUGCGUGUGUGUGUGUGUGUGUGUGUGUGUGUGUGUGUGUGUGUGUGUGUGUGUGUGUGUGUGUGUGUGUGAACACUGGUACUCUGGAUAAAUGGCUGUAAG